CUAACUCAAAGGACUUGGCGGUGCUUUAGACCCCUUAGGGGAACCUGUUUCGUAAUCGACAGUCCACGUUACACCUUUCCUUUAGUUGCAAAUAUCAGUAUGUAUACCGUCGUCGUCAGGUAACUUUUAAGAACCAUAGAAGUUAGCCAUAAAAUUCGCUUAUAAGUUUUAACGUCAGAUCAAGGUGCAGCUCAUAAAAAGGAGAGAAUGGGUUACAAUUAAAAAUUAUAAUUAUGGAAGAGAAAUUGAAAUUUUUCUGAGGGAGGACUUGAAAGUAAAAAG
Molecule: ribosomal RNA, 282 nt
Filed under: Melanoides tuberculata
Lineage: Eukaryota; Metazoa; Mollusca; Gastropoda; Thiaridae
Description: partial 12S ribosomal RNA
Source: RNAcentral